CCUACGGGAGGCAGCAGUAGGGAAUCUUCCACAAUGGACGAAAGCCUGAUGGAGCAACGCCGCGUGGGUGAAGAAGGGUUUCGGAUCGUAAAGCCCUGUUGGUAGAGAAGAAAGAUCGUGAUAGUAACUGGCCAUUAUUUGACGGUAUUUACUUAGAAAGUCACGGCUAACUACGUGCCAGCAGCCGCGGUAAUACGUAGGUGGCAAGCGUUGUCCGGAUUUAUUGGGCGUAAAGGGAGCGCAGGCGGUUCAAUAAGUCUGAUGUGAAAGCCUUCGGCUUAACCGGAGAAGUGCAUCAGAAACUGGUGGACUUGAGUGCAGAAGAGGAGAGUGGAACUCCAUGUGUAGCGGUGGAAUGCGUAGAUAUAUGGAAGAACACCAGUGGCGAAAGCGGCUCUCUGGUCUGCAACUGACGCUGAGGUUCGAAAGCAUGGGUAGCGAACAGGAUUAGAUACCCUUGUAGUC
RNAcentral lists this ribosomal RNA (465 nucleotides) under uncultured bacterium. RNAcentral's name for it is "partial 16S ribosomal RNA". It matches the Rfam family "Bacterial small subunit ribosomal RNA", at positions 338 to 795 of the family's 1533-position model. The record is from RNAcentral.